CCUGGGUGGCUCAGUCAGUUAAGUGUCCAACUCUUGGUUUCAGCUCUGGACAUGAUCUCACUGUUUCGUGGGUUCGAGCCUCAUGUUGGGCUCUGUGCUGGCAGUGCAGAGCCUACUUGGGAUUCUCUGUCUCCCUUUCUCUCUGCCCCUCUCCCACUCGUGCUGUCUCUGUCUCUCUCAGGAUAAAUAAAUAAGCUUAAAAAAAUUUUUUUUAAGUAACAAAGACUUAAGCUGGACGGAAAUCUAUUUCUUACAUGAAAUUAAUCUAGAGGAAAACAACCCAGGCAAUUAGGGAAGGCUCAUAAUAUCAUCAGGGCCCAGUGUAUCCAUGUCUUACCGCUCUGUAUUCUCUGGCAUCUGACUUUCACUUCAGGGUCCCAGCUGACUGCCUGAGCUCCAGCCAUCACAUCAACAUUUCCAAGAAAAAGGAGAAAAGAAGAGCACGCUUCCUUUCUUGAAAGGCACUUCCUGAAUUUAGGAGAACUGCUUACUUACAGGAGCAGACAGGGAGCAGAAGGCUUGAAAGAAGGUCAUCAGAGAAGAAUUGGAGGUCCACUGCAGCGUCCUCCUCAGCAGAGAAACAUGAACUCCUUGAAGGUGUGGUGAGGGAGAGGGAGUGCGCUCAAGAGCCUUCACCAGAGUCUGGAUUGGGGCUUCACUGCUUUCUUGCUCUGGGCUUUUUGGAUAAAUAUUUCCAAGUUUAAGAUAUCAUCCUCUCAGUAACGGAACUUCAAGCAAAACUCGCUCUGGAAGAUAUACAUGAUAAAAGCACCCUGUCAACCACGGACACAUGCCACAGCCAUUUCCCCUUGUGACAGCUCAUAAAAUGCUGCAUAAGAGUUCCUGUGUAAGUACGAGAAAAUACUGAAACAACGUCAAGAGAGUCAAGCAAAAGGCAACUGGUCCCCUGGAUCCAUCUUCAUUGGGUCCCACUGGACAA
Neofelis nebulosa (Clouded leopard) is the source of this 940-nucleotide long non-coding RNA. RefSeq lists it as uncharacterized. NCBI's taxonomy places the organism in Eukaryota, Metazoa, Chordata, Mammalia, Carnivora, Felidae. The record is from RefSeq and is a predicted model, not a curated record. The transcript is spliced from 5 exons.